Long non-coding RNA from Nothoprocta perdicaria, 475 nucleotides. RefSeq lists it as uncharacterized. The record is from RefSeq and is a predicted model, not a curated record. The transcript has 2 exons. Lineage: Eukaryota; Metazoa; Chordata; Aves; Tinamiformes; Tinamidae.
AGCAGCAGGAGGAAGGUCCGUCACACACGAGCGCGGCGGCUGCACGGUGCAGGACGCGCYGGCCCGCAGCUCCUUCCACCCCUCAGGGACCCCAGGAGCAUUUUUUGUAUAUAAAUAAAUGAUAACUAACAUCGUAGAAUAUAAAACUGACAGUCAAGGAUCUCCAGAGGGUGCCGAGGGCAGGACGGGACCGUAAGGCUUCGAGCACGACGAGGGGCUGCGGCGGCCGGCGGCGCUACCUGAAGGGGCUGCGGCCCCGCGCCCGGGGGACACUGUAAACAUGUUUGGUGUCUGAAUUUUGCCUCCUCUGACGGAGCCAGGAAAACCAGGAAAAUCGUGAUGCGGAUGUGCAGGGGCUGUUUUGUUCUGGAAAAGGCUUUAAAGGGACAGUGUCAGCGAUAAAGGUCCUGCUCUACAGUUGCUUCUCCGUGUUGGAUUGUACCACGGCAUCAGACGGGAGCGCCAAGAAGACGCC